This 3006-nucleotide ribosomal RNA is filed under the name Salmonella enterica subsp. enterica serovar Typhimurium. RNAcentral's name for it is "23S ribosomal RNA". It matches the Rfam family "Bacterial large subunit ribosomal RNA". The record is from RNAcentral. Lineage: Bacteria; Pseudomonadati; Pseudomonadota; Gammaproteobacteria; Enterobacterales; Enterobacteriaceae.
GGGUUGUGAGGUUAAGCGACUAAGCGUACACGGUGGAUGCCCUGGCAGUCAGAGGCGAUGAAGGGCGUGCUAAUCUGCGAUAAGCGCCGGUAAGGUGAUAUGAACCGUUAUAACCGGCGAUACCCGAAUGGGGAAACCCAGUGUGAUUCGUCACACUAUCAUUAACUGAAUCCAUAGGUUAAUGAGGCGAACCGGGGGAACUGAAACAUCUAAGUACCCCGAGGAAAAGAAAUCAACCGAGAUUCCCCCAGUAGCGGCGAGCGAACGGGGAGGAGCCCAGAGCCUGAAUCAGCAUGUGUGUUAGUGGAAGCGUCUGGAAAGGCGCGCGAUACAGGGUGACAGCCCCGUACACAAAAGCGCAUGUGCUGUGAGCUCGAUGAGUAGGGCGGGACACGUGGUAUCCUGUCUGAAUAUGGGGACCAUCCUCCAAGGCUAAAUACUCCUGACUGACCGAUAGUGAACCAGUACCGUGAGGGAAAGGCGAAAAGAACCCCGGCGAGGGAGUGAAAAGAACCUGAAACCGUGUACGUACAAGCAGUGGGAGCACAGGUUUACCUGUGUGACUGCGUACCUUUUGUAUAAUGGGUCAGCGACUUAUAUUCUGUAGCAAGGUUAACCGAAUAGGGGAGCCGGAGGGAAACCGAGUCUUAAUUGGGCGUUAAGUUGCAGGGUAUAGACCCGAAACCCGGUGAUCUAGCCAUGGGCAGGUUGAAGGUUGGGUAACACUAACUGGAGGACCGAACCGACUAAUGUUGAAAAAUUAGCGGAUGACCUGUGGCUGGGGGUGAAAGGCCAAUCAAACCGGGAGAUAGCUGGUUCUCCCCGAAAGCUAUUUAGGUAGCGCCUCGUGAAUUCAUCUCCGGGGGUAGAGCACUGUUUCGGCUAGGGGGCCAUCCCGGCUUACCAACCCGAUGCAAACUGCGAAUACCGGAGAAUGUUAUCACGGGAGACACACGGCGGGUGCUAACGUCCGUCGUGAAGAGGGAAACAACCCAGACCGCCAGCUAAGGUCCCAAAGUCAUGGUUAAGUGGGAAACGAUGUGGGAAGGCCCAGACAGCCGUGAUGUUGGCUUAGAAGCAGCCAUCAUUUAAAGAAAGCGUAAUAGCUCACUGGUCGAGUCGGCCUGCGCGGAAGAUGUAACGGGGCUAAACCAUGCACCGAAGCUGCGGCAGCGAACGUAUCACCCAAGACAACUUUACGGAGUUGACGAUUGACGGAGCGAAGCGACGUCAAAGCGUUCAUUAAAGUCGAGUUGGCUUAGGGAUACGUUCGUUGGGUAGGGGAGCGUUCUGUAAGCCUGUGAAGGUGUGUCGUGAGGCAUGCUGGAGGUAUCAGAAGUGCGAAUGCUGACAUAAGUAACGAUAAAGCGGGUGAAAAGCCCGCUCGCCGGAAGACCAAGGGUUCCUGUCCAACGUUAAUCGGGGCAGGGUGAGUCGACCCCUAAGGCGAGGCCGAAAGGCGUAGUCGAUGGGAAACGGGUUAAUAUUCCCGUACUUGGUGUUACUGCGAAGGGGGGACGGAGAAGGCUAUGUUGGCCGGGCGACGGUUGUCCCGGUUUAAGCGUGUAGGUGUGUGUUCCGUAAAUCCGGUUCACUUUAACACUGAGGCGUGACGACGAGGCACUACGGUGCUGAAGCAACAAAUGCCCUGCUUCCGUGAAAAGCCUCUAAGCAUCAGGUAACACGAAAUCGUACCCCAAACCGACACAGGUGGUCAGGUAGAGAAUACCAAGGCGCUUGAGAGAACUCGGGUGAAGGAACUAGGCAAAAUGGUGCCGUAACUUCGGGAGAAGGCACGCUGACACGUAGGUGAAGUGAUUUACUCAUGGAGCUGAAGUCAGUCGAAGAUACCAGCUGGCUGCAACUGUUUAUUAAAAACACAGCACUGUGCAAACACGAAAGUGGACGUAUACGGUGUGACGCCUGCCCGGUGCCGGAAGGUUAAUUGAUGGGGUCAGCGUAAGCGAAGCUCCUGAUCGAAGCCCCGGUAAACGGCGGCCGUAACUAUAACGGUCCUAAGGUAGCGAAAUUCCUUGUCGGGUAAGUUCCGACCUGCACGAAUGGCGUAAUGAUGGCCAGGCUGUCUCCACCCGAGACUCAGUGAAAUUGAACUCGCUGUGAAGAUGCAGUGUACCCGCGGCAAGACGGAAAGACCCCGUGAACCUUUACUAUAGCUUGACACUGAACAUUGAGCCUUGAUGUGUAGGAUAGGUGGGAGGCUUUGAAGUGUGGACGCCAGUCUGCAUGGAGCCGACCUUGAAAUACCACCCUUUAAUGUUUGAUGUUCUAACGUGGACCCGUAAUCCGGGUUGCGGACAGUGUCUGGUGGGUAGUUUGACUGGGGCGGUCUCCUCCUAAAGAGUAACGGAGGAGCACGAAGGUUGGCUAAUCUGGUCGGACAUCAGGAGGUUAGUGCAAUGGCAUAAGCCAGCUUGACUGCGAGCGUGACGGCGCGAGCAGGUGCGAAAGCAGGUCAUAGUGAUCCGGUGGUUCUGAAUGGAAGGGCCAUCGCUCAACGGAUAAAAGGUACUCCGGGGAUAACAGGCUGAUACCGCCCAAGAGUUCAUAUCGACGGCGGUGUUUGGCACCUCGAUGUCGGCUCAUCACAUCCUGGGGCUGAAGUAGGUCCCAAGGGUAUGGCUGUUCGCCAUUUAAAGUGGUACGCGAGCUGGGUUUAGAACGUCGUGAGACAGUUCGGUCCCUAUCUGCCGUGGGCGCUGGAGAACUGAGGGGGGCUGCUCCUAGUACGAGAGGACCGGAGUGGACGCAUCACUGGUGUUCGGGUUGUCAUGCCAAUGGCACUGCCCGGUAGCUAAAUGCGGAAGAGAUAAGUGCUGAAAGCAUCUAAGCACGAAACUUGCCCCGAGAUGAGUUCUCCCUGAGACUUAGAGUCUCCUGAAGGAACGUUGAAGACGACGACGUUGAUAGGCCGGGUGUGUAAGCGCAGCGAUGCGUUGAGCUAACCGGUACUAAUGAACCGUGAGGCUUAACCUUACAACGCCGAAG